CCUACGGGGUGCAGCAGUGAGGAAUAUUGGUCAAUGGGCGAGAGCCUGAACCAGCCAAGUAGCGUGAAGGAUGACUGCCCUACGGGUUGUAAACUUCUUUUGUACGAGGGUAAACGCAGAUACGCGUAUCUGUCUGAAAGUAUCGUACGAAUAAGGAUCGGCUAACUCCGUGCCAGCAGCCGCGGUAAUACGGAGGGUGCAAGCGUUGUCCGGAAUCAUUGGGCGUAAAGAGUUCGUAGGUGGCACGUUAAGUCUGGUGUUAAAGGCGGAAGCUCAACUUCCGUAGGGCACUGGAUACUGGCGAGCUUGAAUGCGGUAGAGGUAAAGGGAAUUCCUGGUGUAGCGGUGAAAUGCGUAGAUAUCAGGAGGAACAUCGGUGGCGUAAGCGCUUUACUGGGCCGUAAUUGACACUGAGGAACGAAAGCCGGGGUAGCAAAUGGGAUUAGAUACCCGUGUAGUC
RNAcentral lists this ribosomal RNA (460 nucleotides) under uncultured bacterium. RNAcentral's name for it is "partial 16S ribosomal RNA". It matches the Rfam family "Bacterial small subunit ribosomal RNA", at positions 338 to 795 of the family's 1533-position model. The record is from RNAcentral.